CCUACGGGUGGCAGCAGUGAGGAAUAUUGGUCAAUGGGCGUAAGCCUGAACCAGCCAAGUCGCGUGAGGGAUGAAGGUUCUAUGGAUCGUAAACCUCUUUUAUAAGGGAAUAAAGUGUGGGACGUGUCCUGUUUUGUAUGUACCUUAUGAAUAAGGAUCGGCUAACUCCGUGCCAGCAGCCGCGGUAAUACGGAGGAUCCGCGCGUUAUCCGGAUUUAUUGGGUUUAAAGGUUGCGUAGGCGGCCUUUUAAGUCAGCGGGGAAAGUCUGUGGCUCAACCAUAGAAUUGCCGUGUACAAUGGGAGGCUUGAGUAUGUUUGAGGCAGGCGGAAUGCGUGGUGUAGCGGUGAAAUGCUUAGAUAUCACGCAGAACCCCGAUUGCGAAGGCAGCCUGCCAAGCCAUGACUGACGCUGAUGCACGAAAGCGUGGGGAUCAAACAGGAGUAGAUACCCCAGUAGUC
This 460-nucleotide ribosomal RNA is filed under the name uncultured bacterium. RNAcentral describes it as "partial 16S ribosomal RNA". It matches the Rfam family "Bacterial small subunit ribosomal RNA", at positions 338 to 795 of the family's 1533-position model. The record is from RNAcentral.